Molecule: ribosomal RNA, 375 nt
Filed under: uncultured organism
Description: partial 16S ribosomal RNA
Rfam family: Bacterial small subunit ribosomal RNA
Source: RNAcentral
GUAGGUGGCAAGCGUUGUCCGGAAUUAUUGGGCGUAAAGCGCGCGCAGGCGGUCCUUUAAGUCUGAUGUGAAAGCCCACGGCUCAACCGUGGAGGGUCAUUGGAAACUGGGGGACUUGAGUACAGAAGAGGAAAGCGGAAUUCCAAGUGUAGCGGUGAAAUGCGUAGAGAUUUGGAGGAACACCAGUGGCGAAGGCGGCUUUCUGGUCUGUAACUGACGCUGAGGCGCGAAAGCGUGGGGAGCAAACAGGGAUUAGAUACCCUGGUAGUCCACGCCGUAAACGAUGAGUGCUAAGUGUUAGGGGGGUUUCCGCCCCCGUUAGUGCUGCAGCCAACGCAUUAAGCACUCCGCCUGGGGAGUACGGCCGCAAGGCUG